RNAcentral lists this ribosomal RNA (253 nucleotides) under uncultured bacterium. RNAcentral's name for it is "partial 16S ribosomal RNA". It matches the Rfam family "Bacterial small subunit ribosomal RNA", at positions 524 to 776 of the family's 1533-position model. The record is from RNAcentral.
UACGGGGGGGGCAAGCGUUGUUCGGAAUUACUGGGCGUAAAGGGCUCGUAGGUGGCCAACUAAGUCAGACGUGAAAUCCCUCGGCUUAACCGGGGAACUGCGUCUGAUACUGGAUGGCUUGGGUUCGGGAGAGGGAUGCGGAAUUCCUGGUGUAGCGGUGGAAUGCGCAGAUAUCAGGAGGAACACCGGUGGCGAAGGCGGGUCUCUGGGCAGUAACUGACGCUGAGGAGCGAAAGCGUGGGGAGCGAACAGG